Molecule: ribosomal RNA, 805 nt
Filed under: Staphylococcus aureus
Lineage: Bacteria; Bacillati; Bacillota; Bacilli; Caryophanales; Staphylococcaceae
Description: partial 23S ribosomal RNA
Rfam family: Bacterial large subunit ribosomal RNA
Source: RNAcentral
UCAGGUAACACUGAAUGGAGGACCGAACCGACUUACGUUGAAAAGUGAGCGGAUGAACUGAGGGUAGCGGAGAAAUUCCAAUCGAACCUGGAGAUAGCUGGUUCUCUCCGAAAUAGCUUUAGGGCUAGCCUCAAGUGAUGAUUAUUGGAGGUAGAGCACUGUUUGGACGAGGGGCCCCUCUCGGGUUACCGAAUUCAGACAAACUCCGAAUGCCAAUUAAUUUAACUUGGGAGUCAGAACAUGGGUGAUAAGGUCCGUGUUCGAAAGGGAAACAGCCCAGACCACCAGCUAAGGUCCCAAAAUAUAUGUUAAGUGGAAAAGGAUGUGGCGUUGCCCAGACAACUAGGAUGUUGGCUUAGAAGCAGCCAUCAUUUAAAGAGUGCGUAAUAGCUCACUAGUCGAGUGACACUGCGCCGAAAAUGUACCGGGGCUAAACAUAUUACCGAAGCUGUGGAUUGUCCUUUGGACAAUGGUAGGAGAGCGUUCUAAGGGCGUUGAAGCAUGAUCGUAAGGACAUGUGGAGCGCUUAGAAGUGAGAAUGCCGGUGUGAGUAGCGAAAGACGGGUGAGAAUCCCGUCCACCGAUUGACUAAGGUUUCCAGAGGAAGGCUCGUCCGCUCUGGGUUAGUCGGGUCCUAAGCUGAGGCCGACAGGCGUAGGCGAUGGAUAACAGGUUGAUAUUCCUGUACCACCUAUAAUCGUUUUAAUCGAUGGGGGGACGCAGUAGGAUAGGCGAAGCGUGCGAUUGGAUUGCACGUCUAAGCAGUAAGGCUGAGUAUUAGGCAAAUCCGGUACUCGUUAAGGCU